Molecule: transfer RNA, 70 nt
Filed under: Apocheima cinerarius
Lineage: Eukaryota; Metazoa; Arthropoda; Insecta; Lepidoptera; Geometridae
Description: tRNA-Leu
Source: RNAcentral
UACUAUCUAUAUAAUUAAAUUAUAUAUUUAUGAAUUUUAAAAUCAUUACAUUUUUUUGCCAAAAUAGUAA